UACAGAGGUGGCAAGCGUUGUUCGGAAUUACUGGGCGUAAAGGGCUCGUAGGCGGCCAACUAAGUCCGACGUGAAAUCCCAAGGCUUAACCUUGGAACUGCGUCGGAUACUGGAUGGCUUGAAUUCGGGAGAGGGAUGCAGAAUUCCAGGUGUAGCGGUGAAAUGCGUAGAUAUCUGGAGGAAUACCGGUGGCGAAGGCGGCAUCCUGGACCGACAUUGACGCUGAGGAGCGAAAGCGUGGGGGAGCGAACAGG
This 254-nucleotide ribosomal RNA is filed under the name uncultured bacterium. RNAcentral describes it as "partial 16S ribosomal RNA". It matches the Rfam family "Bacterial small subunit ribosomal RNA", at positions 524 to 776 of the family's 1533-position model. The record is from RNAcentral.